GCCUAUUGUCAAGUAGAAUAAUCUUUGUUUUCAGUUAACCACAAUUUCUUGUUUUGUGAAUGUAUACAUAAAGGCUCAAUGCUCCAUUGGAAACAACCUGUCGGACAUUGAAAUUUGAUUGAAAGAUUGGUUAUAUUGUGCACAAAUAGCAUGUCAGGUUAACGUCAAUCAAGGUAUGAAAUUAUAUCUUUCAAAAGUGCAACUUGGAAAUUUGGCUAUAUUUUUCCU
Non-coding RNA from Pelobates cultripes (western spadefoot toad), 228 nucleotides. NCBI's taxonomy places the organism in Eukaryota, Metazoa, Chordata, Amphibia, Anura, Pelobatidae. The record is from the annotation of a GenBank genome assembly.